GGCCAUAUCAUGUUGAAACACCAGUUCUCGUCUGAUCACCAAAGUUGAGCAACGUUGAACCUAGUCAGUAAGAUGGGUGACUACUUGGGAAUAUCAGGUCCUGUAAG
Non-coding RNA from Acanthosepion pharaonis, 107 nucleotides. Lineage: Eukaryota; Metazoa; Mollusca; Cephalopoda; Sepiida; Sepiidae. The record is from the annotation of a GenBank genome assembly.